UAGAUGUCGAGUAUGGGUUAA
This 21-nucleotide non-coding RNA is filed under the name Arabidopsis thaliana (thale cress). Lineage: Eukaryota; Viridiplantae; Streptophyta; Magnoliopsida; Brassicales; Brassicaceae. The record is from RNAcentral.